Molecule: ribosomal RNA, 436 nt
Filed under: uncultured bacterium
Lineage: Bacteria
Description: bacterial SSU rRNA
Rfam family: Bacterial small subunit ribosomal RNA
Source: RNAcentral
GAGCGAGAAAGGGUAGCAAUAUCCGAGUAAAGCGGCGCNACGGGUGAGUAACACGUGGGUAAUCUGCCUCGAAGUGGGGAAUAACACCGGGAAACCGGUGCUAAUACCGCAUAAUCUGAUGGGGUCUGCGGAUCUUGUCAGCAAAGGAGCAAUUCGCUUUGAGAGGAGCCCGCGGCUGAUUAGCUAGUUGGUGAGGUAAUGGCUCACCAAGGCCACGAUCAGUAGCCGGUCUGAGAGGACGGUCGGCCACACUGGAACUGAGACACGGUCCAGACUCCUACGGGAGGCAGCAGUGGGGAAUUUUUGGCGAUGGGGGCAACCCUGACCAAGCAACGCCGCGUGGGUGAUGAAGUCUCUUGGGACGUAAAACCCUUUCGACGGGGACGAAACCGCAAGGUUGACGGUACCCGUAGAAGAAGCCCCGGCUAACUCCGUG